GAAGACAUUUCCCCCACAGAAGGAGAAGCCGCUAGACGAGAAGAAACUCCUUCAGUAGAAGAUACAAGUCUAUCUCUAGAUGACAUGGAAGAGGAUGUAUUAGUAUCAAGAAGGAAACCUAAGAAAAGUGUAAGAAAAGCAUGGACAAAAGAAGAAGAAGAAGGAAUGAAGAAAUAUUUUAAGACGUACUACGAUGGUACUACGAAGAAAACUUGCCCAAGUAGAGCAGAAUGCCAAAGAGCAAUUGAGUUGGGCAAAAACAAUGGUGGAUACAUACACCUGAGGAGUUGGGAAUCAAUAAAAAAAAAGUUAACAAUUUUCUUUUCAGCUCUGUCAAGAAGAAGUAAAAACAGAUGUGCAAAUAUGACUGGAAACGUUGGACAUUAGGCUAGAACAUAUUUUUUUAUCAUGAUUGUUUCGCAUUCUUCUACACUUUUUUCAAUGAUUGUUUUGCAGUGUUCUAUACCAUUUUUUUUUAAUAAACUCAGUUACAAAGUAAUUGUAGACAAUUCUGUUGUCAAAGCUAACUCUCUGGUUCCUGUUUAGUUAGACCAGAUCUAUACUGAGUUAAAUUUUUUUUAAUAUAAAAAUGGGACACAAGUCUAUGUGAUUAAAGUCAAGUUUUCUCUGUUGAUUGUUGCCCCAUUGGUCAUUUAUAAGGCGUCGAGAAAAUGUCAGCUCGAUGCCUUUGUGGCCAUUCCGGCCUUUGAUUUAUUUUUUGCUAUU
Magallana angulata is the source of this 726-nucleotide long non-coding RNA. RefSeq lists it as uncharacterized. Lineage: Eukaryota; Metazoa; Mollusca; Bivalvia; Ostreida; Ostreidae. The record is from RefSeq and is a predicted model, not a curated record. The transcript has 3 exons.